CCAGUAGUGGGUAUUCAGUUACUUACUAUUGUGUGUUGGUCGUUUACUGUGAGAAAAUUAGAGUGUUCAAAGCAGGCGUUUGCUUGAAUAGAUUAGCAUGGAAUAAUAAUUGAAGGCUUUCGUGUUCGAUUUGAUUGGUUUGUUCAUGGAAGCAAGGUUAAAAGGAACAGUUGGGGGUAUUCAUAUUCACUAGUUAGAGGUGAAAUUCUCGGAUUUAUGGAAGAUGAACAAGUGCGAAAGCAUUUACCAAGGAUGUUUUCAUUAAUCAAGAACGAAAGCUAGGGGAUCGAAGAGGAUUAGAUACCCUCGUAGUCUUAGCUAUAAACGAUACCGACUAGGGGUUAGUAGAG
Molecule: ribosomal RNA, 350 nt
Filed under: Blastocystis sp. subtype 1
Lineage: Eukaryota; Bigyra; Opalinata; Blastocystidae
Description: SSU rRNA
Rfam family: Eukaryotic small subunit ribosomal RNA
Source: RNAcentral